AGAGUUUGAUCCUGGCUCAGAAUCAACGCUGGCGGCGCGCCUAACACAUGCAAGUCGAACGAGAAAGUGGAGCAAUCCAUGAGUAAAGUGGCGUACGGGUGAGUAACACGUGGAUAACCUGCCCUUUAGUGGGGAAUACCGAUGGGAAACCGUCGACAAUACCGCAUAAGCUCGAGAGAGGAAAGCAGCAAUGCGCUGAAGGAGGGGUCCGCGGUCGAUUAGUUAGUUGGUAGGGUAAUGGCCUACCAAGACUGUGAUCGAUAGCCGGCCUGAGAGGGCACACGGCCACACUGGCACUGAAACACGGGCCAGACUCCUACGGGAGGCAGCAGUGGGGAAUCUUGCACAAUGGGGGCAACCCUGAUGCAGCGACGCCGCGUGAGCGAUGAAGCCCUUCGGGGUGUAAAGCUCUUUCGGCAGGGAAGAUUAUGACGGUACCUGCAGAAGCAGCUGCGGCUAACUACGUGCCAGCAGCCGCGGUAAUACGUAGGCAGCAAGCGUUGUUCGGAGUUACUGGGCGUAAAGGGUGCGUAGGCGGCUCUAUAAGUAUGGUGUGAAAUCUCCCGGCUCAACUGGGAGGGUGCGCUAUAGACUGUGGGGCUAGAGUGUGGGAGAGGAAAGUGGAAUUCCUGGUGUAGCGGUGAAAUGCGUAGAUAUCAGGAGGAACCCGGUGGUGUAAACGGCUUUCUGGACCAUAACUGACGCUGAGGCACGAAAGCGUGGGUAGCAAACAGGAUUAGAUACCCUAGUAGUCC
This 755-nucleotide ribosomal RNA is filed under the name uncultured bacterium. RNAcentral describes it as "bacterial SSU rRNA". It matches the Rfam family "Bacterial small subunit ribosomal RNA", at positions 8 to 796 of the family's 1533-position model. The record is from RNAcentral.